Molecule: ribosomal RNA, 365 nt
Filed under: uncultured bacterium
Lineage: Bacteria
Description: bacterial SSU rRNA
Rfam family: Bacterial small subunit ribosomal RNA
Source: RNAcentral
GAAGGUGGCUAGCGUUAUUCGGAUUCACUGGGCAUAAAGCGCGCGUAGGCGGCUCUUCAAGUCGGUGGUGAAAGCCCGCAGCUCAACUGCGGAACAGCCUUCGAUACUGUCGAGCUUGAGUGCAGGAGGGGUGAUCGGAACUCCAGGUGUAGCGGUGAAAUGCGUAGAUAUCUGGAGGAACACCGGAGGCGAAGGCGGAUCACUGGACUGCCACUGACGCUGAGGCGCGAAAGCUAGGGGAGCAAACAGGAUUAGAUACCCUGGUAGUCCUAGCUGUAAACGAUGGGUACUAGGCAGCGGGGGCCCGAUGCUCUCGCUGUCGAAGCGAAUGUGCUAAGUACCCCGCCUGGGGAGUACGGCCGCAA